AGUCUAUUCGACUUUUUCUUGCAAAUCCUCUCUUUUCCGCUUUUGAUUAUGAUUGGGCCCUGCAGUGGUAGAACCUGGUGAACCAGGCAUACUGCUUGACUUGCUUUUCUUCUCUUAUGAUAUUUAUGAUAUUGAUAAGUCGAGCCUUCGCUAUUGCCUAUAAUAAGAGGUCAAGGAUCGAGUCGUCUGUUCAUAGUUUCACUUCGCUUCUGCCAUUCUGUUCCCCUCAGACUAUUAAGGGAAAGCAAGGACACCUGUGAACUCGGAUAA
Molecule: long non-coding RNA, 270 nt
Filed under: Solanum tuberosum (potato)
Lineage: Eukaryota; Viridiplantae; Streptophyta; Magnoliopsida; Solanales; Solanaceae
Description: long non-coding RNA (STUB_LNC003599)
Source: RNAcentral